CAAUAGCGUAUAUUAAAGUUGUUGCAGUUAAAAAGCUCGUAGUUGGAUUUGUGGCGUACGGUGUGUUCCGGGCACUUGUUGUCUGAGUAACCUGCUGUUGCCAUCCUUGGGUGGAACCUGUGUGGCAUUAGGUUGUCGGGCAGAGGAUCCUCAUCGUUUACUGUGAAAAAAUUAGAGUGUUCAAAGCAGGCUUAUGCCGUUGAAUAUAUUAGCAUGGAAUAAUAAGAUAGGACUUUGGUACUAUUUUGUUGGUUUGCGCACCAAAGUAAUGAUUAAUAGGGACAGUUGGGGGUAUUCGUAUUCCGUUGUCAGAGGUGAAAUUCUUGGAUUUACGGAAGACGAACUACUGCGAAAGCAUUUACCAAGGAUGUUUUCAUUAA
This 380-nucleotide ribosomal RNA is filed under the name uncultured eukaryote. RNAcentral describes it as "partial 18S ribosomal RNA". It matches the Rfam family "Eukaryotic small subunit ribosomal RNA", at positions 592 to 976 of the family's 1831-position model. The record is from RNAcentral.